UUUGUUCUAAUUUUGGUUUUUAUGAAGCUUCCAAUGGUCAUGUUUUUGGAGUUUGUGGUUUAUAAGGUUGGGUUUUGGUUCUAUUUGUAAGCAAGCUUGUAAUUUGUGUAUAUUUUGUGAAUAAUGGCAAAUGUAUGAAUGAAAAAGCAAUCCAAAGUUAGAAUAGGCAAGGACAUAAUAAAUACGAAGUUGUAAAAGUCGUCCAAAGUAGAAAAAAGGCAAGGACAAUUGUUUUGACUUUUUGCAAAAAAAAAAAAUUGAAAAUGAGAAAAUUCAAAAAUAUUUUUAUGUGAUUCUUUUCCCACUAGUAUAAAACCCGCAUAUUUUUGACGCUUUGGAUGUGGCGUCAACCACAAUUUUAUUUCCGCUUUUUCUCGACACUUUUAGGUGUCGAAGGUUUGUUUCGACACAUAAAAGCGUCGAGAAAAUCACGAGUCUAACACGUGACUCCCUCACAUCCUACCGCCCGCGAUUUUAAAAUUUUGUGAAAAAAAAGCGGGUUGUAUCACUCCCAAUUAUUUACUAAAAAAAAAGGAAAUACUCCCAAACCAAUUUAAACCACCCACUAUUGAAAUACGACUGAUAAAUUUGCUCGAACACUACUGCACUCUGCAUCUCUACUCAUAAUCAAAGCUACAACAUUCAUCGUUUUUUUUGUGUUAAAUUCUGGGUUUCUUGCUAAUUCUUCAACGAAUUUAGGGGAUUUUUCUUUUCACUUUCAGAAAUUUCAGAACAAGAAUCGAUCUUAUUGCAAGGGAUCUUUCAUUCAACAAACUAUCUGGCAGCUUGCCUCAGAGUUUUGAAUCUCUUUCAAGCCUUUCUACGCUGAAAGAAAUAGUUGCAUAUACCUUUGUGCCUGAUUUUCAUUGCAUCAAACAUCGAUAUAUUCAUAAUCCUGUCUGAUUUUGUUAUGAUUGAGUAACUGCCAAAUGUAUUAAGUAAUUUCAGAAUUGUUGCAUUUUGUCUUCCUAUGUGCUCUCACUCAUUCCCUUACACAAUACUCACGACCUGUAGCUGUAUUAGUGCCUUGCCCAAUACGUGAGGACCACAGGUGGCUGGUUCAUUAUAGAAUAUAUUGUUUGAACUAAAAUAAAUCAAUUGUGUAAUUGAAUAUCAUCAUAUAAACUUAAAAUCUAUGUAUAUUAAUGGUUUAAUGUUGUAUAUUCUAUUAAAGCUGGUGGUUAUGAAUAUAAUGGUGAUAAACAAGGGAGUUUCGUGUCAUAAAAGCUCAUAUUUUAGUGAAUUAGAGAACCUGAAAUUGAAAUCUUUAAUGUAUCACAAUCCUAAUGAAGGAAGUCAUGUGCCAGCAUGACCCAGCAAGAGACGGACAUGGAAAUAGGAUCAUUCUAGGAUAGAAACUCACUCUGGACUCUAUUUGUUUAACUUUUUAUUUGUUGUUGCAUGUUUCUUUCUAAUUUUCUUCUUUCACCCCUCAGCAAGUAUGUAGGCUUGAAUUACUUACAUUAUUUUUAAGUGGAUAAACUUCUUGAUAUUAUAAGUUUGAUGGAUGUCUAUUUACUUGAAAGUGAUGUCCCUAUUAUAUAUUGGUUUAAGGAUCCUUGUGACGGGAUUUUUUUUAAAUGUCAUUGUUUUUAAUUAGCAAUUAAUUAUAUACUUCUUUGUAGACAUGGAUACUAGUUGGAUUGAUUUUCCAAGAGGUGAUCCUGGUUAUUUUAAUGGUUGCAUUGAAACUUUCUAAAGAGACUCUUUUACCAAAUACAUGGGAAACUAAAUGCCCAUGUAAUAAGUGUAAGUUAAAUAAAACGAAUUCUGUAGAAAAAGUUGGAGGCCAUAUUUUAUUUUAUGGUUAUUAUAAAAACUAUAGAAAUUGGAUAUUUCAUUGUAAAGAUGAAGGGAGUAAGACCUAUGAUCUAAGUGAUGAUCAAGUAAAUUCAGUAAGUCGAGAUGAUAUGGACGGGUUACUAAGAGCAACUUAUAGAGUUAAUACACGACAAACCGACAAAACUCAAUAUCCAUCAUUUAAUGAACAAAGUAUUGAAGAUGACAAUUCAUAUGACAUGGAUGAGGGGUUUACCAUUUAUCGCGAGGUAGA
Long non-coding RNA from Chenopodium quinoa (quinoa), 2053 nucleotides. RefSeq lists it as uncharacterized. The transcript has 3 exons. NCBI's taxonomy places the organism in Eukaryota, Viridiplantae, Streptophyta, Magnoliopsida, Caryophyllales, Amaranthaceae. The record is from RefSeq and is a predicted model, not a curated record.